UACGAAGGGGGCUAGCGUUGCUCGGAAUGACUGGGCGUAAAGGGCGCGUAGGCGGUGCGGUAAGUCUGCAGUGAAAUCUCUGGGCUCAACUCAGAGUCUGCUGUAGAAACUGCCGUGCUUGAGUGUGGGAGAGGUGAGUGGAAUUCCCGGUGUAGCGGUGAAAUGCGUAGAUAUCGGGAGGAACAUCUGUGGCGAAAGCGGCUCACUGGACCACAACUGACGCUGAGGCGCGAAAGCUAGGGGAGCAAACAGG
Molecule: ribosomal RNA, 253 nt
Filed under: uncultured bacterium
Lineage: Bacteria
Description: partial 16S ribosomal RNA
Rfam family: Bacterial small subunit ribosomal RNA
Source: RNAcentral